GGAGUGGUUCGGAUGGUCGCGGUGUUUGCAUUUAUGCAGGCAUCGAGGAAAGUCCGGGCUGCACUGGGCAGGAUGCCGGAUAACGUCCGGCGGGGGCGACCUCGGGAAAGUGCCACAGAGAGUAGACCGCCCUGCAUUGAUGCAGGGUAAGGGUGAAAGGGUGCGGUAAGAGCGCACCGCUUUGUCCGGUAACGGACGAGGGCAUGGUAAACCCCAUCCGCAGCAAGGCCAAAUAGGGAAGCAAUAGGCGUGGCCCGCGCUGCUUCCGGGUAGGCUGCUAGAGUGUGUCGGCAACGGCACACCCAGAUGAAUGAUCAUCGAAGGCUUCGGCUGGAACAGAACCCGGCUUACAGGACCGCUCCGCUA
Molecule: RNase P RNA, 366 nt
Filed under: Zetaproteobacteria bacterium CG1_02_55_237
Lineage: Bacteria; Pseudomonadati; Pseudomonadota; Candidatius Mariprofundia
Also listed under: 5 other names
Description: RNase P RNA component class A
Rfam family: Bacterial RNase P class A
About the family: Ribonuclease P (RNase P) is a ubiquitous endoribonuclease, found in archaea, bacteria and eukarya as well as chloroplasts and mitochondria. Its best characterised activity is the generation of mature 5'-ends of tRNAs by cleaving the 5'-leader elements of precursor-tRNAs.
Source: RNAcentral